GAGCAUCAUCAACUCCUUGGAUGAAAGGCGGGCUACAAAUGCAAGCAACCAACGAAUCAGUUCUUUGCUUGCAAAUGGUUCCAGGUUCAAUCCAGGUAAGACUUAGGAUGUCACACACCCCAACUAGUUUAAAUGUUAUUUCUUCCAUCCAGGAAACCCUGAUAAAUUUAGGUCAUGUCUACACAUUUGAAAGUGCCUGGCUUCCCCCAAAGAAUCCUGGGACCUGUGCUGGGAAUUAUAGCACUGUGAGGGGUAGACUACAGUUCGUAGGAUUCUUUGAGAAGAGGCAUGACUGCUAAAGAGCUCCAAAUGUCCCAUUCUGUGACAGGGUGAGGGGCUUCUAAGUUACUUCUCAACACACUCACCAAACUACAGCUCCCAGAAUUCUUUAGGGGAAGUCCAACUGUUAUAAAACUGAUCCACACAUCACCUUGCCAACAAAGCUCCAUAUAGUUAAAGCUAUGGUUUUCCCAGUAGUGAUGUAGGGAAGUGAGAGCUGGACCAUAAAGAAGGCUGAUCGCCGAAGAAUUGAUGCUUUUGAAUUCUGGUGCUGGAGGAGACUCUUGAGAGUCCCAUUGACUGCUGUAAGAUCAAACCUAUCCAUUCUAAAGGAAAUCAGCCCUGAGUGCUCACUGGAAGGACAGAUCGUGAAGCUGAGGCUCCAGUACUUUGGCCACCUCAUGAGAAGAGAAGACUCCCUGGAAAAGACCCUGAUGUUGGGAAAGAUGGAGGGCACAAGGAGAAGGGGACGACAGAGGACGAGAUGGUUGGACAGUGUUCUCGAAGCUACCAGCAUGAGUUUGACCAAACUGCGGGAGGCAGUGGAAGACAGGAGUGCCUGGCGUGCUCUGGUCCAGGGGGUCACGAAGAGUCGGACACAACUAAACGACUGAACAGCAACAACACUUGGACACUGAAGAGCUUUCGUCUCCUUCCUUUUACCAAAUCUAUUCCCACGCUUCUAACAAGUGUGUGGGGGGGGGUGAGAUACUGAUCUGACUCUUACCAGAGCUUCCCAGAGUUCAAAUUUUGUACUAAUUGGAGCUCCUGAAGUGUAACAUCAGAAAGGAUGACAUCAAGCGAUUAGGCAUAAUUCACUCUGGUAGUAGCUACUGAGCAACGAAGUCACCAAGAGAGAAACCUCACUGGUGCAUAAAUUCACAAAAAGAUUUGAGCUGAUGACUAUCUGUAAUUGGAUGUGAUCCUGGAGGAAAAUUACCUUCUGAUCCAUUCCAGGCUCCCGUAUAGACACCCUGCAUGGAAACACCUCCUGGUGGAAGGAACAAAGUUCUUCAUUAAAACAACAACAACAACCCCAUAAGGAUAGAUCCGAGCAUGCUGGACUUCUCCAGGCUGAUAGAACAGAAGAACAGAAGAACUACCUUGAUGGAUCUGACUAAAGGAUGUCCAGAUCGAGAAGGCCUGGAAACGAUGCCUUAUGAGGAACGGCUAAGAGAGCUGGGCAUGUUUAGCCUGGAGAAGAGGAGGUUAAGGGGUGAUAUGAUAGCCAUGUUCAAAUAUAUAAAAGGAUGUCACAUAGAGGAGGGAGAAAGGUUGUUUUCUGCUGCUCCAGAGAAGCGGACACGGAGCAAUGGAUCCAAACUACAAGAAAGAAGAUUCCACCUAAACAUUAGGAAGAACUUCCUGACAGUAAGAGCUGUUCGACAGUGGAAUUUGCUGCCAAGGAGUGUGGUGGAGUCUCCUUCUUUGGAGGUCUUUAAGCAGAGGCUUGACAACCAUAUGUCAGGAGUGCUCUGAUGGUGUUUCCUGCUUGGCAGGGGGUUGGACUCGAUGGCCCUUGUGGUCUCUUCCAACUCUAUGAUUCUAUGAUUCUAUGAUUCUAUGAUUAUCCUCCACAGUCACUUGCUAACACACUGUUAAGAUCAUAUUCAUGGAAGGCAAUCUUAUCCGGCUACGAGUGAUCACUAAGGAAGAACAUCUAAUUCAUCAUUCCCUUUUCACGAUGGCCAACCAGAUGCAUGUUGGGAAGCCAUGAGCAGGAUCUGGGCACAAGAGCACUCUCAUGUCCUGUGGUUUCCCACAACUGUUAUUCAGAAGUAUUACUGCCUCCAGCUAUGGACAAAGAGCAUAGCCAUCGUGGGUUGGAGCCCCCAACAGCCCCCUCCUCCAUGAAUUCAUCUCGCCCUCUUGUGGGGGACAUUCCUUGGGUGCCGGCCAUGGUAGUGGGAGUCACGGGGCCCCAUUUGUACCAGGUGGCCCUCGAGAAUGGACGCUUGCGGCGCUGCUACAUAGACCAGCUAAGGCACAGGGUUGGGGAUUUGGACACUACCGCUGUGCCCCCAACUGUGGCCCCAGCUCAGGAGCGGUCGCUAAUGGAAGGCGAGGCUCCAUCUACAUCUUCCUCACAAACUGCAGGCAUGGAGCUGAUCCGUUUCAGUGGGUCUGCCUGGCUCUCCAGGGACUCGGACCACUGCCGUGCCUGACCAUCCACUGAGUCCGCUUGUGGCGGUUCCUUCGACAGGAGCCAGGGAACUCGGGCUCAACGCCACAAUUGGUCACACCACAGUCGCAGCCAGAAUCGGGCGGCCACCCAGACUCUGGUACUGGCCCUCGGCGGUCUGGCAAGGGUUUCCAAGCGCCCAGCUUAUUUAAAAGACUAUUUUCACCGGACAAACUGCACAUGUAAAGCUGUAUGGUGAAUAGGGUAAAUUAGUAUUUGAUCGUGAGUCUUACGGGUGAUACAGCUGAUAGUGAAACAGUUAUACCUGCGAACUUGUAAUAUUGGAAUCGAUAUGCUUAUGUGCCUUACAGAAACCAAUAAGGGUAUUGCUGUAUGUAAUGGAAGGCAUUAGAUUGUAACUAAUGCCUUAUCUUGGUGGGGAGGGGUGUUAUGUAUUGAAGUUCUCACCCUGGCCACCAGGGGUAUUGUGUACAGUGGUACCUCAGGUUAAGCACUUAAUUCGUUCCAGAGGUCCGUACUUAACCUGAAACUGUUCUUAACCUGAAGCACCACUUUAGCUAAUGGGGCCUCCUGCUGCCGCCGCGCCGCCGGAGCACGAUUUCUGUUCUCAUCCUGAAGCAAAGUUCUUAACCUGAAGCACUAUUUCUGGGUUAGCGGAGUCUGUAACCUGAAGCGUAUGUAACCUGAAGCGUAUGUAACCUGAGGUACCACUGUAUAUAGUUUUCACUCAGGUCCACGUCAGUUAAUUUAGGCGGGAAACCCUCGGCUGUUGUUGUUACAGUGUUGACAGCCGGCUGCCUAUAAAAUCAGGCCGGCUGAGCUGUUCAGUUCAGUUCCAGCUUACUAUAAAGAACCACUUGGAGAAAUCUCUGUGUCGUCAACUAUGCCCACUCACAGCUUGAUAGUUGGUGGCCAUCGCUACCUCCUGCAAGGAUGAGUUCCACAGUUUAACUGUGCGCUGCAACCUGAAUUGGCCACUCUGUAAAGAAUCCCACCCCAAAGUAGCCAAAGUCCAGCAAUGCCCCAAGGUUAAGGUGCUUGUCCUGAGGCAGAGAUUUAAUUUGCUGUUCUUGUAUCCCACAGUUGCUUUAAUUUCUAAAUUGCUGAAGAAUCAGGCUGGCAAUGCAUGCAAUGUGUCCAAUGAAGGAAAUAGGCUAAUAGAAGAUUGAUUUCCCUUUGUUUGUUUUCUGGCCUACAAACGUGAGUCAUCUUGUCACUAUUGACUAAGCAUUACCACAUUAUGGAAAGGUGGAGGGGGGGAAUCUUUACAGGCCAGAUUCCAGUAUACUGUCAUCCUAGUAUUGACUCUCUUUUCCUGAAAAAAGACAAUUACUUGAAGCUUUUUGAUGUUCUCUAGAUACUCCUUAAUCCUCUCCUUUUACCCUCAUUUCUAAAGAGAUCAGCAGCUACAACUGGGCAGGUGGUUACGUUUUAUCAAUGCUGAACUGAAAAUGUUAUUAUAUUUAUUGAUUAUUCCUUGAAAUGCCAAGAGAGAGGGAGAGAAGGAGAGGGUUUUGUUCCUAAGAAUGGAGACGCUUGCUGACAGAUUCUACCACCCAUGCUAGAUCGCCAUCUGUUUUACAACAAUGGCCGGGAAGAUGUUCCCAGAGUGGCCGCUCACCAUUUCCACAGAGGGCGACCAUUGCAGCCCCUCGUACUCCUCCACCUUCAUCCCCAGUGGUCAGAGCACACUCACCUGUCGGCCAUUUUGUGGGAAGUCCCCUCCAAUGGCGGUAUUAAGGAGCAGCCUUCCUGCCAAAGAGUGAAACUUUGAAUGAGCCAGUUGGAGGUCCCACUUGGAGGGCAGUGCCUCAAUGGCCAACAGGCAUUAGCUGCUGCCUCCCUGGCCCCUUUCUGGGGAACUCUGGGAAUUGUAGUUAUGUGGGGGGGGGAUGGGGGCCUCCUCACAACUCUCAGCAGCCUUAACAAACUACAACUCCCAGAAUUCCCUGUUUUCUGGCCUACAACCUGCAGCUCCCAGAAUCCCUUGGGGAAAGCCGUGACUCUUUAAGGUGGCAUGACAGUGCAUUAAAUGUCUCGCGUGACUGUGACCUGUGUGUGUCGUUUUCUCCACAUGAUUCAGAAUCCUGCAAAGCGGCUAACGUACUCUCCCUUAGUCAUUUAUUUUCCCAAACCAAUAAUAAUAAUAAUUUAUUUAUAUCCCGCCCUCCCCAGCCAAAGCUGGGCUCAGAGCGGCUAACAACAGUAAACGUAACACAGUGUACAUAAAAUCACAAUCUAUUAAUUGAAAUACAUUCUAAAAUCAAUUCAGAAUCAGAUUAAUGGCAACCAUUGGGCUAGAGUUCUAUGAGGAUUACCAAAGGAGGGGGUCAGGCUGUGCCUUGGCUGAAGGCCUAGUGGAACAGCUCUGUCUUGCAGGCCCUGUGGAAAGAUGUCAAGUCCCACAGGGCCCUAGUCUCUUGUGACAGAGAGUGCCACCAGAUAGGGGCCACAGCUGAAAAAGCCCUGGCUCUGGUUGAGGCCAGCCUAACCUCCCUGUGACCUGGGACCUCCAAGAUGUUUUUGUUUGAAGACCGUAAGGUCCUCCGUGGGACAUACCAGGAGAGGUGGUCCCGUAGGUACGAGGGUCCGUAUAGGGCUUUAAAGCCCCAAAUACUUUACCACCUCACUUUAUAUAAUGCAGACUUCUCCAACUUGGAGCUUUCCAGAUGUUUUGGACGGCAAUGAUUCUGUGCCGAGGUGUGGCAGGGCUAUCUUCUGGGGGGGCACAGAGCAGAAAUCUGAUGUUGCAUCAGCAACAGCCAUCUUUAGACUGAGCCCUCUCCAGGAGCAGAAGCUUGGCGCCAGCUGAAAACUCUGCCUUCACGGGGGGGGGGCACCAGGGGGCGCAUUGGAAGAUGGCUGACAAUAACAUCUCUCCGACCCACACGAGGUAAUUAAGAGGCUGCUAUGGGAAGUAUGCAGCCUUCCUUGCCCCCCCCCAAGGGGAUGGGGGGACUGCCUUGCCAGCGGUGUCCAUAAUGCACCCCCGGAUUCGAAAGAAGGGGGUGUGGACACUUGGCACGAAGCCCUCGGUGAAGUCGGCUCUUCCUGACGCUGUCUCCAAUUAGCGCAUUGGUUCGCAUUAGCUUGAAAUAUUUAAUUGGAAAUAUAUAAUUGGAAAGAAGCUAAUGCACAUACAUCAAGUGAAGAUCAGGAGUAAAGACUGCUGAUUAAUGGGGUCUCUGUGAGUGGAGCGACGGGCGUGAAAAUAAAUCAAGUCAAGAAUCAACAUCAAGACACUGGUAUGUUGAGUGAAACGGAAAGGGAGAGGAGGAAAAAACUUUUCUUUUUUUGCCUUAUGUGAGUACCAAUAAUCCUCCCCUCCAGAUAGAGAGAAGAAUCAUUGCUAUUAUUAAUCACAAGCAGGAGACUAAGAACUGUGUGGGAGUGAAUUAUUGAUUGAAGAGAGGACUGGUGGAAAUACCGGGGAAUGAAAGGAAAGUAUUAUGACGCAGUUAAAAAAUGGAGUUUUGUGAAGACAGGCUUGCUUAAGGUGGACGAGAGGGAGGAGGACCAGGGUCAUUGGAAUGUGAAUGCAUGGUUAUCGGAACGCUAUCUUGACCUGGCAGAGUCCUCUGAGAUAUAGAUUCGCAAGCUUGUGAAUCAAUGGACAGACAGUGGGAAUGUUUUUAAUGGAGGUGUGGAAAUGGUGUCUGUCCUUUAUGUGAUAUGAUUUUUGGAGAGUGUAAAACCCACACAGGAGAUGUUUGUCUUUCACCCGCUUGUGAAGAUUAUCAGAGACCACAAAGAAAGGAAUAUAUGAUAACAACAAGAAGAUGAAGAAAAUAACAAAAAGACUAUCUGGACAGAACUGGAUAGAACUGUUUGAUCAAGGCAGCAGCAAGAGUGAUGCUUUGAACCCUUUCGGAACUUGAAGUAUGGGUACCCCCAACAAAAAUUUUAAAAAUCCGGCUGUAUAAUUUGGAUUUAAUGUGAUUUGGAAUUAAUGUCAGCAUCGCCCUUGAGCCAGUGCCACCAACUGGACUCAUCCACUUCAGCCCCGACUGGGCUAGGUGAGCUGGGUAGCACUUCCAGAGACCACCUUCUGCACAGGAACAGGUCAAAGUGCUGUGGACUCACAGCUUAGAGUUGUGAGCACCGGAUUCACUCCAACAAGAAGACAGUCGUCGCACAGCAGAGUUCAGCAGAGUCUAGCAGAGUAUAAACAACUCGGAGAGCAGCUUUGUAGAAUAUCUUCUUUAUUCUAUAACUACAACUAUUAUACAACUAUAUACAGAGCUAAAUAGGUCUAAGCAUAAAUGAAUGCUGCACUGCACUGAGUGUCUGCAGCUGCUCUUAGCAGCAACCUUAUCUCUACACACGAUCUCUAACACUCAGUCUCUCUCUCUCUCUCUCCGACACUGACUGACUGACUGACUCUGGUGCUGGAGCAGAAUAAGUAGAGAGCAGAACACGCCUCCUCCUCUCUGGAGAACCAGCAGACUCCUCAGGAGAUUCUUGGAUAUGGGAGGGGUGAAAUCUCCUCAAUUAAUGUGAUUUGAUUGGCCUGUUAAUAAAAAUUAUAUUAAAAAAAAAGAAAACUCUGCCUUCGCUAUUAUUGGAAUGGAGGUGAAAUUAGUAAUGAUAUGUUGGGCUAAAUAUAUUGGACAUAAUAUACAAUUAGAAGAAUGGGAAAGGUUAUGGAAUGAAGGUAUUAACUUUACAACAUGCAGUACGCUUAAAGAAAAAUUUAUGAAAAUAAUGUAUAGGUGGUAUUUAACACCAGUUAAGGGACACGGGUGGCGCUGUGGGUUAAACCACAGAGCCUAGAACUUGCUAAUCAGAAGGUUGCUUGGUCCCUGCUCCUGCCAACCUAGCAGUUCAAAAGCACGUCAAAAUGCAAGUAGAUAAAUAGGUGCCGCUCCAGCAGGAAGGUAAACAGCAUUUCCGUGCGCUGCUCUGGUUCGCCAGAAGCGGCUUAGUCAUGCUGGCCACAUGACCCGGAAGCUGUAUGCCGGCUCCCUCGGCCAAUAAAGCGAGAUGAGCGCCGCAACCCCAGAGUCGGUCACGACUGGACCUAAUGGUCAGGGGUCCCUUUACCUUUACCUUUUAACACCAGUUAAGCUAGCCAAAAUGUACAGAACAAAAAAUGAAUGUUGGAAAUGUAAGGAAAAGGAAGAUACUUUUGACCAUAUGUGGUAGACAUGUAAAGAGGGAAAGCUUUCUGGGAAAUGAUAUAUAAUAAGUUAAAGAAAAUGUUUAAAACCACUUUUGUUAAAAAAAAACAGAAGCUUUUUUAAUGGGUAUAGUGAGUAGAGAAAUACGGAGACAAGAUUAAAAAAAAAAAUUCUUAUAUGCAACAACUGCGGCAAGAAUUUUGUUAGCCCAAAGAUGAAAACAACAGGAGUUACCAAUAAAAGAAGAGUGUCAGGUGAAGCUGUUGGACUUUGCAGAACUGGCGAAACUGACGGGAAGAAUGCAGAACCAGCGAGAACAAGCAUUCCAAAAGGACUGGAACAAAUUUAUAUUAUAUCUGAAAGACAACUGUAAGCAAUUAACAUCAUCAGCAGGGUUAUCUGAAGAUUUGUAAGGUGAAAUUGCUACCUCUUCACGUUGAGUAAUGUAAUAUUUUAGGUAAUGAUAUAACAAGGAUAGGAAACGAAGCGAAAUGUAAAGAUGUAAAGUUUAAUUUUGUAAACCAUCAGACGGGAGGGAGGGAAGUCGUUAGGCUCAGUCGAGCUGAAGAGAUAAAAUAAAAGGGUACAAUGUUACGUAAUGUGAUUAUAUGUAAAACCAAUAAAAAUCAUUUAUAUAUUAAAAAAAAGAAAACUCUGCCUUUGCUGAAAGGUGCCACUUCAAGCAACCUUUGACAGACCUGAGUAGGCUUUGGUUGUGUGUGGUUGGAUACUGUGAUGGAGUCCUCUGAGCAAUUCAACAUCCUCUGUGAGUCAGGGGGCACUCACCAGAGAUAACCUCUGGGUCUAGCCCAUGGGUCUGGCCCAAUAGCCUUCUAAAUCCUGCCUGCGGACAGUCCGGGAAUCAGUGUGUUUUUACACUGCUUUUAUUUAAAAUGCAUCUCUGGGUUAUUUGUGGGGCAUAGGAAUGCGUUCAUAUUUAUUUAUUUUUCAAAAUAUAGUCCAGCCCCCCACAAGGUCUGAGGGACAGUGGACCAGCCCCCUGCUGGAAAACUUUGCUAGCCCCAGGUGCAAUUGCCCCUCUGACUCAAAUUCCUCAACAUUACCCUCUGAAGAAGGUAUGUCUGACCCCAGGGUCAAGCCAACAGCUUCCAUCACCCGCAGCCAGCACAGAAUUGUAGACUGAAGCAUCUGGAACGCACAAGGUUGAAGACUGUUUGUGGCAUACUUCAAGUUCUGCACCAUUUUAUGUGCAUACCCUGAGACUACAUUUCCCCCUCCCCAAUGAUAUAUUCAAAAUACGCCCAUAUUUGCCAGUGAUGCAAACCGAUAUUUAUCCCCCAGCCAUUCAAAUGUUGUUGAAAAUUGAGAAGUGCUCUUGUCAGCGGAUCGCCGUGUCAGAGGAGAAGGUACACUACUGUAAAACCCACUUAAAUGUUUGCAUCCUGUAAUAUUAUAUCUCUGAUGUUUUCAUAGGUCUGUAUUUGCCAGCAAUACAAACUAGUCUUUAAUCUUCCAGCCAUCAAUAUGACAUUGAAAUGUCAAGAAAUGCUACCGUCAGCAUGUCUCAGGGAAAAAAAGAGGAAAGGAAGGCUGGGGAGGAAAAAUGGAAAUGACUCAAGAAAAAACACGCCAGCGUCUGGCUGUAUGCUGAAAACAACAAAGCAUCUUGGGGCACUUUAAAGACAAACCAAUUUAUUAUGGCAUGAGCUUCUGUAAUCUACAAUUCACUAUAUCAGAUGUAAAGGCAUGGUUUGGGGAAGGAAAAAAACAAAAUCAGAG
Molecule: long non-coding RNA, 9282 nt
Filed under: Podarcis lilfordi (Lilford's wall lizard)
Lineage: Eukaryota; Metazoa; Chordata; Lepidosauria; Squamata; Lacertidae
Source: RNAcentral